This 240-nucleotide unclassified non-coding RNA is filed under the name Hevea brasiliensis (rubber tree). The record is from RNAcentral. Lineage: Eukaryota; Viridiplantae; Streptophyta; Magnoliopsida; Malpighiales; Euphorbiaceae.
GGCAUCUAGGUGGGACAAUGCUUAUGGGCCUCGCAAUUUUCAACGAAAUCCCAAAAAAAGAAGAGAAUAAUUCUCGUUGAUGCUUCCUUGAGUGUUACCCUUUGUUUGAAAAAAAAAAAAAAGCAAAUAAAAAAAAAGAAUAAAAUUAACGAUUUUUUUUACUAACUUUAAAGNNNNNNGUGAUAAUAAUAUUUCUUGUUUUUUAAACAAAUUUAUUUAUUAUUCAAAUAUUAAUUUUUU